Molecule: transfer RNA, 70 nt
Filed under: Loxodonta africana (African savanna elephant)
Lineage: Eukaryota; Metazoa; Chordata; Mammalia; Proboscidea; Elephantidae
Rfam family: tRNA
About the family: Transfer RNA (tRNA) molecules are approximately 80 nucleotides in length. Their secondary structure includes four short double-helical elements and three loops (D, anti-codon, and T loops).
Source: Rfam by way of RNAcentral
GCAGUGGUGGUUUGGUGGUAGAAUUCCUGCCUUCUAUGCGGAGACCCAGGUUUGAUUCUCGGCCAGUGCA